This 484-nucleotide ribosomal RNA is filed under the name uncultured bacterium. RNAcentral's name for it is "partial 16S ribosomal RNA". It matches the Rfam family "Bacterial small subunit ribosomal RNA", at positions 30 to 507 of the family's 1533-position model. The record is from RNAcentral.
AUUGAACGCUGGCGGCAGGCCUAACACAUGCAAGUCGAGCGGAUGAAGGGAGCUUGCUCCUGGAUUCAGCGGCGGACGGGUGAGUAAUGCCUAGGAAUCUGCCUGGUAGUGGGGGAUAACGUCCGGAAACGGGCGCUAAUACCGCAUACGUCCUGAGGGAGAAAGUGGGGGAUCUUCGGACCUCACGCUAUCAGAUGAGCCUAGGUCGGAUUAGCUAGUUGGUGGGGUAAAGGCCUACCAAGGCGACGAUCCGUAACUGGUCUGAGAGGAUGAUCAGUCACACUGGAGCUGAGACACGGUCCAGACUCCUACGGGAGGCGGCAGUGGGGAAUAUUGGACAAUGGGCGAAAGCCUGAUCCAGCCAUGCCGCGUGUGUGAAGAAGGUCUUCGGAUUGUAAAGCACUUUAAGUUGGGAGGAAGGGCAGUAAGUUAAUACCUUGCUGUUUUGACGUUACCAACAGAAUAAGCACCGGCUAACUUCGUG